This 426-nucleotide ribosomal RNA is filed under the name uncultured prokaryote. RNAcentral describes it as "bacterial SSU rRNA". It matches the Rfam family "Bacterial small subunit ribosomal RNA", at positions 355 to 796 of the family's 1533-position model. The record is from RNAcentral.
UGGGGAAUUUUCCGCAAUGGGCGCAAGCCUGACGGAGCAACGCCGCGUGAGGGAGGAAGGCCUGUGGGUUGUAAACCUCUUUUCUCAAGGAAGAAGAACUGACGGUACUUGAGGAAUCAGCAUCGGCUAACUCCGUGCCAGCAGCCGCGGUAAGACGGAGGAUGCAAGCGUUAUCCGGAAUUAUUGGGCGUAAAGCGUCCGUAGGCGGUUCAUCAAGUCUGAUGUUAAAGCCCACAGCUCAACUGUGGAUGGGCAUUGGAAACUGAUGGACUAGAGAGUGGUAGGGGUAGAGGGAAUUCCUAGUGUAGCGGUGAAAUGCGUAGAUAUUAGGAAGAACACCAGUGGCGAAGGCGCUCUACUGGACCAUUACUGACGCUGAUGGACGGAAGCUAGGGGAGCGAAAGGGAUUAGAUACCCCCGUAGUCC